Molecule: long non-coding RNA, 616 nt
Filed under: Gossypium barbadense (sea-island cotton)
Lineage: Eukaryota; Viridiplantae; Streptophyta; Magnoliopsida; Malvales; Malvaceae
Description: long non-coding RNA (GBAR_LNC013891)
Source: RNAcentral
GUCGACUCAUUUUGCAUAACCAAUUUGGAAUUGGGCCACUCAAAUUGUUAGAAGAUGCGUCGAAACUGAAAGGCCCCUGUGAAAAAUUUGAACUCUGAUUGGGUAGAAGUUGUUCCAAAGACGAGAGAUGGUUAUUAGCAAGAUACAGAUACCGCAAACUUUUCUUCCACACCCAGUUUGGAAUUGCACCACUUAUUUUAUUAUUUGAAAGUUCGAGAUAUUCCAAAUUUUCUUGACUCUUUAAGAACUCUGGAAAUGAGCUUAUGUUACAAGAUUCCAGAUACAAUUCCCUCAACAUUGAAAAAGAGAAGUUUAAAUCACUUAAGGGAAGCUGUUUUGGAAAAUCAAUCACAUUGAAAGAAAGGUUUACCCUUAAAAGAGUGCUAUUCCACAACCAAUUAGGCACAACACCAUGGAUAUGGUUGUUAGAAAGAUCUAACACAACCAACUUGUCUUGUGUUUUGAUGAACUCUGGAAACGCACUUAUGUUACAAGACCUCAAAUGCAAUACUUUCAACAUUGGAAAUGAGAAGUUAGCAUCAUUUAAGGGAAGCUGUUUUGGAAAAUCAAUCAUAUUGAAAGAAAGGUCUACCCAUGAAAGACUGCUCUUCCACAA